This is an RNA transcript of Rhinopithecus roxellana (golden snub-nosed monkey), 1772 nucleotides long. It is a transcript of the gene named alpha-aminoadipic semialdehyde dehydrogenase pseudogene, with no coding region annotated. The transcript has a single exon. Lineage: Eukaryota; Metazoa; Chordata; Mammalia; Primates; Cercopithecidae. The record is from RefSeq and is a predicted model, not a curated record.
CCUUGGAGCCGGCCUGCCGCCUUCAUGUCCACUCUUCUCAUCAAUCAACCCCAGUAUGCGUGGCUGAAAGAGCUGGGGCUCUGCGAGGAAAACGAGGGCGUGUAUAAUGGAAGCUGGGGAGGCCAGGGAGAGGUUAUUACGACCUAUUGCCCUGCUAACAAUGAGCCAAUAGCAAGAGUCCGACAGGCCAGUGUGGCAGACUAUGAAGAAACUGUAAAGAAAGCAAAAGAAGCAUGGAAAAUCUGAGCAGAUAUUCGUGCUCCAAAAUGAGGAGAAAUUGUAAGACAGAUUGGCGAUGCCUUGUGGGAGAAGAUCCAAGUACUAGGAAGGUUGGUGUCUUUGGAGAUGGGGAAAAUCUUAGUGGAAGGUGUGGGUGAAGUUCAGGAGUAUGUGGAUAUCUGUGACUAUGCUGUUGGUUUAUCACGGAUGAUUGGAGGACCUAUCUUGCCUUCUGAAAGACCUGGCCAUGCGCUGAUUGAGCAGUGGAAUCCUGUAGGCCUGGUUGGAAUAAUCACGGCAUUCAAUUUCCCUGUGGCAGUGUAUGGCUGGAACAAUGCCAUCGCCAUGAUCUGUGGAAAUGUCUGCCUCUGGAAAGGAGCUCCAACCACUUCCCUCAUUAGUGUGGCUGUCACAAAGAUAAUAGCCAAGGUUCUGGAGGACAACAAGCUGCCUGGUGCGAUUUGUUCCUUGACUUGUGGUGGAGCAGAUAUUGGCACAGCAAUGGCCAAAGAUGAACAAGUGAACCUGCUGUCCUUCACUGGGAGCACUCAGGUGGGAAAACAGGUGACCCUGAUGGUGCAGGAGAGAUUUGGGAGAAGUUUGUUGGAACUUGGAGGAAACAAUGCCACUAUUGCCUUUGAAGAUGCAGACCUCAGCUUAGUUGUUCCAUUAGCUCUCUUCACUGUGGUGGGAACUGCUGGCCAGAGGUGUACCACUGCGAGGCGGCUGUUUGUACAUGAAAGUAUCCAUGACGAGAUUGUAAACAGAUUUAAAAAGGCCUAUGCACAGAUCCGAGUUGGGAACACAUGGGACUCUAAUGUUCUCUAUGGGCCACUCCACACCAAGCAGUCAGUGAGCAUGUUUCUUGGAGCAGUGGAAGAAGCAAAGAAAGAAGGUGGCACAGUGGUCUACGGGGGCAAGGUUAUGGAUCACCCUGGAAAUUAUGUAGAACUGACAAUUGUGACAGGUCUUGCCCAUGAUGCAUCCAUUGCACACACAGAGACUUUUGCUCCGAUUUUCUAUGUCUUUAAAUUCAAGAAUGAAGAAGAGGUCUUUGCAUGGAAUAAUGAAGUAAAACAGGGACUUUCAAGUAGCAUCUUUACCAAAGAUCUGGGCAGAAUCUUCCGCUGGCUUGGACCUAAAGGAUCAGACUGUGGCAUUGUAAAUGUCAACAUUCCAACAAGUGGGGCUGAGAUUGGAGGUGCCUUUGGGGGAGAAAAGCACACUGGUGGUGGCAGGGAGUCUGGCAGUGAUGCCUGGAAACAUUACAUGAGAAGGUCUACUUGUACUAUCAACUACAGUGAAGACCUUCCUCUGGCCCAAGGAAUCAAGUUUCAGUAAAGGUGUUUUAGAUGAACAUUCCUUAAUUUGAAGUUUUCCGGCAGCUAUUUUUGAAGAAGACAAAGAAUAUUAAAGUUUUCCCUGAAUAAAUGCAUCAUUAUGACUGUGACAGUGACUAAUCCCCCUAUGACCCCAAGGCCCUGAUUAAAUCAAGAGACUCCUUUUUUAAAAAUCAAAAUAAAAUUGUUACAACAUAGUCAUAUUUACUAAAA